RNAcentral lists this ribosomal RNA (253 nucleotides) under uncultured bacterium. RNAcentral's name for it is "partial 16S ribosomal RNA". It matches the Rfam family "Bacterial small subunit ribosomal RNA", at positions 524 to 776 of the family's 1533-position model. The record is from RNAcentral.
UACGUAGGGCGCAAGCGUUAUCCGGAAUUAUUGGGCGUAAAGAGCUCGUAGGCGGUUUGUCGCGUCUGCCGUGAAAGUCCGGGGCUCAACUCCGGAUCUGCGGUGGGUACGGGCAGACUAGAGUGAUGUAGGGGAGACUGGAAUUCCUGGUGUAGCGGUGAAAUGCGCAGAUAUCAGGAGGAACACCGGUGGCGAAGGCGGGUCUCUGGUCCGAUACUGACGCUGAGGAGCGAAAGCGUGGGGAGCGAACAGG